Long non-coding RNA from Microtus oregoni (creeping vole), 238 nucleotides. RefSeq lists it as uncharacterized. The record is from RefSeq and is a predicted model, not a curated record. NCBI's taxonomy places the organism in Eukaryota, Metazoa, Chordata, Mammalia, Rodentia, Cricetidae. The transcript has 3 exons.
CCGGGAUGGUUGGUAACUGGCGAUGGGGUGAGGGGUGCCUGAGGGCGGUGGCAGUGGCUAAGGUGUGGGGCUGUGUCCUCUAUUUACUGGCACCACAUGCCCCAUGCUGGCAAGAAUGAGUCGGAAGCCUGCAGCCUGAUGAGCAAGAAACAACCAGCCAGAGAUCAUUCUGGAGCUAGAAGAGGGCAAAGGUCCAAAAGAGGACUAAAAGCUGAGCUGCGAGAAACUGACCCAGCAG